This 443-nucleotide ribosomal RNA is filed under the name uncultured bacterium. Its description in RNAcentral is "partial 16S ribosomal RNA". It matches the Rfam family "Bacterial small subunit ribosomal RNA", at positions 28 to 507 of the family's 1533-position model. The record is from RNAcentral.
GAUGAACGCUGGCGGCAUGCCUAACACAUGCAAGUCGAACGGUAAGGCUCUUCGGAGUACACGAGAGGCGGACGGCUGAGUAACGCGUAGGAACACACACUGCAGUGAGGGAUAAGACACCGAAAGGUGUUCUAAUACCGCAUCCGGUCUUCGGAUUAAAGCAUUUAUGCGCUGAAGGAGUGGCCUGCGUCAUAUUAGAUGGUUGGUGAGGUAAUGGCUCACCAAGUCGAUGAUGUGUAGCUGGUCUGAGAGGAUGAUCAGCCAGACUGGAACUGAGACACGGUCCAGACUCCUACGGGAGGCAGCAGUGCGGAAUAUUGCACAAUGAGCGAAAGCUUGAUGGAGCAAUGCCGCGUGCAGGAUGAAGUCCCUCGGGUUGUAAACUGCUUUUAUAAGAGAAGAUUAUGACGGUAACUUAUGAAUAAGGGACGGCUAACUACGUG